GACGAACGCUGGCGGCGUGCUUAACACAUGCAAGUCGAACGGAAAGGCCCUUCGGGGUCCUCGAGUGGCGAACGGGUGAGUAACACGUGGGUGAGCGGCCCUGCACUUUGGGAUAAGCCUGGGAAACUGGGUCUAAUACCGAAUAGGACCACGCGCUUCAGGGUGGGUGGGGGAAAGCUUUUGCGGUGUGGGAUGGGCCCGCGGCCUAUCAGCUUGUUGGUGGGGUAAUGGCCUACCAAGGCGACGACGGGUAGCCGGCCUGAGAGGGGGACCGGCCACCCUGGGCCUGCGAUACGGCCCAGACUCCUACGGGCGGCAGCAGUGGGGAAUCUUGCACAAUGGGCGCACGCCUGAUGCAGCGACGCCGCGUGCGGGAUGCCGGCCUUCGGGUUGUAAACCUCUUUCAAUAGGGCCGAAGCGCACGUGACGGUACCUAUAGAAGAAGCACCGGCCAACUACGUG
Molecule: ribosomal RNA, 462 nt
Filed under: uncultured bacterium
Lineage: Bacteria
Description: partial 16S ribosomal RNA
Rfam family: Bacterial small subunit ribosomal RNA
Source: RNAcentral